This 497-nucleotide ribosomal RNA is filed under the name uncultured bacterium. Its description in RNAcentral is "partial 16S ribosomal RNA". It matches the Rfam family "Bacterial small subunit ribosomal RNA", at positions 28 to 507 of the family's 1533-position model. The record is from RNAcentral.
GACGAACGCUGGCGGCGUGCCUAAUACAUGCAAGUUGAGCGAUGAAGAUUGGUGCUUGCACCAAUUUGAAGAGCAGCGAACGGGUGAGUAACGCGUGGGGAAUCUGCCUUUGAGCGGGGGACAACAUUUGGAAACGAAUGCUAAUACCGCAUAACAACUUUAAACAUAAGUUUUAAGUUUGAAAGAUGCAAUUGCAUCACUCAAAGAUGAUCCCGCGUUGUAUUAGCUAGUUGGUGAGGUAAAGGCUCACCAAGGCGAUGAUACAUAGCCGACCUGAGAGGGUGAUCGGCCACAAUGGGACUGGGACACGGCCCAAACUCCUACGGGAGGCAGCAGUAGGGAAUCUUCGGCAAUGGACGAAAGUCUGACCGAGCAACGGCGGGGGAGUGAAGAAGGUUUUCGGAUCGUAAAACUCUGUUGGUAGAGAAGAACGUUGGGGAGAGUGGAAAGCUCAUCAAGUGACGGUAACUACCCAGAAAGGGACGGCUAACUACGUG